This 566-nucleotide ribosomal RNA is filed under the name uncultured bacterium. Its description in RNAcentral is "bacterial SSU rRNA". It matches the Rfam family "Bacterial small subunit ribosomal RNA", at positions 8 to 620 of the family's 1533-position model. The record is from RNAcentral.
AGAGUUUGAUCAUGGCUCAGGGCUAACGCUGGCGGCGCGCCUAACACAUGCAAGUCGAACGCAUCCUUCGGGGUGAGUGGCAGACGGGUGAGUAACACGUGGGAACAUACCUUUUGGUUCGGAAUAACUCAUGGAAACGUGAGCUAAUACCGGAUACGCCCUUUUGGGGAAAGAUUUAUUGCCGAAAGAUUGGCCCGCGUCUGAUUAGCUAGUUGGUGAGGUAAUGGCUCACCAAGGCGACGAUCAGUAGCUGGUCUGAGAGGAUGAUCAGCCACACUGGGACUGAGACACGGCCCAGACUCCUACGGGAGGCAGCAGUGGGGAAUAUUGGACAAUGGGCGCAAGCCUGAUCCAGCCAUGCCGCGUGAGUGAUGAAGGCCUUAGGGUUGUAAAGCUCUUUUAUCCGGGAAGAUAAUGACUGUACCGGAAGAAUAAGCCCCGGCUAACUUCGUGCCAGCAGCCGCGGUAAUACGAAGGGGGCUAGCGUUGCUCGGAAUCACUGGGCGUAAAGGGCGCGUAGGCGGACAGCUAAGUCAGGGGUGAAAUCCCGAGGCUCAACCUCGGAA